Arachis stenosperma is the source of this 617-nucleotide long non-coding RNA. RefSeq lists it as uncharacterized. The record is from RefSeq and is a predicted model, not a curated record. NCBI's taxonomy places the organism in Eukaryota, Viridiplantae, Streptophyta, Magnoliopsida, Fabales, Fabaceae. The transcript is spliced from 2 exons.
UUUUUUUCUUUUUAUUUGAGCUGUGUUGUGUGUGUUGUGAACUCUUUUCUUCAAUGCUUGCAAGCCAACAUUGCCAGAAUCAUCAUCUCUGUCUCAGUAACCAAAGUACCUGAUUAUCAAGAGGAUAUAAUCAACUAAUACAAGAAAUGUUUUACCUGUGAGUAAUGGGUGUCCAAGUCAACAGCAGCCCGUUGCUCAGGAGUCUUUGCUUUCAAGAAACGGAAAGCGACAGAGAAUGUUCGUCGGUCAAGCUGAUGAAAAGAAGGGGAGAAAAAGGAAAGAUAAUGAGGAUUUUAGCUAUUCUAACUACGUUCGUGGACAUAAAUUGAAAAUCAUGGUAAAAGCCUAUAAAACUUAUAUGCCAUGGAUCAGAUUGGAUAUAUCAUAACUCAACGUCAAAUACAGAUUUGUGAACAUAUAAACAAUUGAUGAGUCUACAAAUUACCCAUUUUCCCCCAAUAGCUAAGAUUUCUGUACUUUUCUUUUCUCUUUCUUCCCUUUGCCCUAGUUGUAAAGAAAAUUAUUAUAGUUCAUAAACCUGUUUCUUUCAACCCAGCAAAUGGGGAAGUUUAUAGAAUUUUUAAUGCCACAAAAAAUUUCUCUGGCAAGUUUGGUCA